UGAGGAAUAUUGGUCAAUGGGCGGAAGCCUGAACCAGCCAAGUCGCGUGAGGGAAGACGGUCCUAUGGAUUGUAAACCUCUUUUGCCGGGGAGCAAGCCGGGUCUGCGGACCCGCGUUGAGAGUACCCGGAGAAAAAGCAUCGGCUAACUCCGUGCCAGCAGCCGCGGUAAUACGGAGGAUGCGAGCGUUAUCCGGAUUUAUUGGGUUUAAAGGGUGCGUAGGCGGAUUGUUAAGUCAGUGGUCAAAACGGGAGGCUCAACCUUCUGUCGCCAUUGAAACUGGCAGUCUUGAGUGAGCGAGAAGUAUGCGGAAUGCGUGGUGUAGCGGUGAAAUGCAUAGAUAUCACGCAGAACUCCGAUUG
Molecule: ribosomal RNA, 362 nt
Filed under: uncultured Barnesiella sp.
Lineage: Bacteria; Pseudomonadati; Bacteroidota; Bacteroidia; Bacteroidales; Barnesiellaceae
Description: bacterial SSU rRNA
Rfam family: Bacterial small subunit ribosomal RNA
Source: RNAcentral